RNAcentral lists this ribosomal RNA (503 nucleotides) under uncultured bacterium. RNAcentral describes it as "bacterial SSU rRNA". It matches the Rfam family "Bacterial small subunit ribosomal RNA", at positions 29 to 524 of the family's 1533-position model. The record is from RNAcentral.
AUUGAACGCUGGCGGCGUGCUUAACACAUGCAAGUCGAUCGGUAACAGGUGUAGCAAUACAUGCUGACGAGAGGCGGACGGGUGAGUAAUGCUUGGGAAUCUGCCUAUUAGUGGGGGACAACCCGGGGAAACUCGGGCUAAUACCGCAUACGCUCUACGGAGGAAAGCCGGGGACCGCAAGGCCUGGCGCUAAUAGAUGAGCCCAAGUCGGAUUAGCUAGGUUGGUAGGAACGGCCUACCAAGGCGACAAUCCGUAGCCUGGUCUGAGAGGACGACCAGCCACACCGGAACUGAGACACGGUCCGGACUCCUACGGGAGGCAGCAGUGGGGAAUAUUGGACAAUGGGGGCAACCCUGAUCCAGCGACGCCGCGUGGGUGAAGAAGGCCUGCGGGUUGUAAAGCCCUUUCGGUGGGAAGAAAAGUCUCGAACCUAAUACGUCGGGACCUUGACGUAACCACUAAAGAAGCACCGGCUAAACUCUGUGCCAGCCGCCGCGGUAAC